This 500-nucleotide ribosomal RNA is filed under the name uncultured Glomeromycotina. RNAcentral's name for it is "partial small subunit ribosomal RNA". It matches the Rfam family "Eukaryotic small subunit ribosomal RNA", at positions 591 to 1092 of the family's 1831-position model. Lineage: Eukaryota; Fungi; Glomeromycota. The record is from RNAcentral.
CCAAUAGCGUAUAUUAAAGUUGUUGCAGUUAAAAAGCUCGUAGUUGAAUUUCGGGGUUAGUAGGCUGGUCGUGCCACCGGUACGUACUGGUCUUACUGAUGCCUCCUUCCUGAUGAACUGUAAUGCCAUUAAUUUGGUGUUGCAGGGAAUCUGGACUGUUACUUUGAAAAAAUUAGAGUGUUUAAAGCAGGCUAACGCUUGAAUACAUUAGCAUGGAAUAAUGAAAUAGGACGUUCGAUCCUAUUUUGUUGGUUUCUAGGAUUGACGUAAUGAUUAAUAGGGAUAGUUGGGGGCAUUAGUAUUCAAUUGUCAGAGGUGAAAUUCUUGGAUUUAUUGAAGACUAACUACUGCGAAAGCAUUUGCCAAGGAUGUUUUCAUUAAUCAAGAACGAAAGUUAGGGGAUCGAAGACGAUCAGAUACCGUCGUAGUCUUAACCAUAAACUAUGCCGACUAGGGAUCGGAUGAUGUUAAUUUUUUAAUGACUCAUUCGGCGCCUUACG